Long non-coding RNA from Sorex araneus (European shrew), 1577 nucleotides. RefSeq lists it as uncharacterized. The transcript is spliced from 6 exons. The record is from RefSeq and is a predicted model, not a curated record. NCBI's taxonomy places the organism in Eukaryota, Metazoa, Chordata, Mammalia, Eulipotyphla, Soricidae.
GGACUUGGGGAGAAGUUUCUGGCCGCGGAGGCAACGGGGCGCGCCCAGGAGGCGGCUCCGGCCCAGAUCGUCGCAGCAGCACAGGAGGCUGUAACACAGCCACCUGAGGACCCGCUGGCGGGGGCACAGCGCCUGGUGGCACUGGGAGGACUUCUCCAGGCGCGGUUCCCCGCCGAAGGAUUCUCAGUGGCCUCCCCGAGACGUUGAAAAUCCGUGGCCAGCCCGGGACUGUCCGGAGUGACCAGUCCAUGACUGCGAGAAAUGACUCGCCAGUGGACGAGAAUUAUUCCUUCAAACGGGACUAAAGGACCUUAAGUAUCACCCAGGGAGAGCGGAUUGACCUUCCCGAAACUCGAUGAUGUCUGGUAAAACGGGGUUGUUACAACUCAAUUCAGAGACCUCUUGGGGUUUGAUGUGGCAUUUGAUGAUCCCGUUCUUCAAGCUGAGUUUUGUAAAAUGUGAGAAAACAUUACAAAGAGGAGACAAAAGACCAUGAAAUGGAAUCAUUUGGUUUGAGAGUGACGUGAAGCACACAGUUCACCCGUAAGCCCGAAGGAUGUGGGUGGAUAUUCUACCUGUAGAAAAGAGACCGGGAGUGAGGACGGGGCUCCAUUCUCUAGAUACACUCGAAGGGCAAAAGCUCCAGAAACUUCCAGAUAUUGGGAUAUUGGUGGUAGAUGGCUGCCUAACUUGAUGGUGCAGAAGGAACAAGUAUGAAGAGAGAGAUGACCAUCAGCCUUACCCACAUCCCUCCCUUGGCCAGAUUGCUCAGCCUCCCCACCUCCCCUGCAGUUAACGCCUAACCCAACUAUUUUAGCCCAUGCUGUCUUCCCUCCCUAAGGAGUCUGAACACUUUUUAGGAGACCAAGGGCUCAACUGUUGGUUCUGACUCAACUGGCAUGUGAAAUUUCCUCUAUAGUCAUGUUGACAUGUCCUUUUUGGUAGACCACUGAGUAGCACCCCAUUGGGGCUUGGGAGGGAGAACUAAUAUUUUGUUUCCAAACGUAUUCCAAGCAGAUUCUGUCUUAUGUCAAUAAAGAUGUAAGCAAACACCAGUGGGUAUGAUGACGUGGUCGAAUGGGCUGGGAGACAUCAGCUCGCAUCUCCUUGUCUUUAGCCAAACGGAAGCAGCUCCGAAUGUGACUACAGAAGUUGUUACCUUCACUUUAGCAGUUCCCUGGGAGAUGGAUCUCAGAGGUCUAGGAGACGCAAGUGGAAGUACAGAGAAGUGAAAAUGUCCCCUGAGGUGCCAGACGGAGGAGGUACAGCCAGCACGUCUUCUCCAGAUGGAGCCCCGGAGACACUGAGCAGCUACUAACACGGCUCCAGGAUGUGGGACUGGGACAUCUCCAAACCUCGUGGCCGCUAAUGCGGCCACAUGACCUUUCCUGAAAAAUGAAAAUGUACAAUCUAUUGAUGCCAUCCAACAUGUCUGACUGUUGGAGGAAAACCUCCAAGUAAUGAUAGUGAGAUUCCUGUUGAAAAUUGAAUGCAAUCAAAGUAAGGAAAGAGUAAAGUGGAAAUUGUCUGCCACACAGGCAGAGGGGGAGUGGGAGGGGGGAUAUGUGGGGGUUUUG